GUGGGGUGAGACCAUUGAGAAAUGUUGAUGAUGGUGAUAAUUGGUGGAGGUAUACUUCUAGUGUAAACGUUACCGACAUUACUCCGAAAUUUAAUAAACCUCCUAUCGAAAAGAAGAAAAAGAAAGUUGAGAGACUCGUGGAGAUGAGAGUGGGCGCGGAGACAUCAUCAGCUAAAGAUAAUUCGAUUACAAGGAAGAAGAAUAAGGAGAAUUCAAAUCAUUCGAUUAAGGAAGAGGUAAUCGAUGUUCCUAAACCAAAAUCAGGGUUGUUACUAAAAUUGAACUUUGAUGAUGUUUUGAACGCGUGGUCCGAUAAGGAAUCACCGUUCUCCGAUGAUAUUCAGGGUUCAGAUGCUGCAGGAAAUGAUGUACAAGCCAGAUUAGCACAAAUAGACUUAUUCUCAGAAAAUGGAGGAAUUAGAGAGGCUAGUGUGUUACGUUACAAAGAAAAACGACGUACUCGAUUAUUUUCUAAAAAAAUUAGAUACCAAGUUAGAAAAGUCAACGCGGAUCGACGACCCAGAAUGAAGGGUAGGUUUGUCAAAAGCCCAAAUUCACCAGAGGAUGAGCUAGGAUGAUUUUUCUAAAAUUAUUAGAAUUUUUUUGGGUAUUUGCAAUUUUGUUUCUUCUAUUUCAUUGUUCUUUUUUCUUUUUUUAAAAAGUUAUUCUUCCUUUUUAUAUUUAGAAUAAAG
RNAcentral lists this unclassified non-coding RNA (692 nucleotides) under Hevea brasiliensis (rubber tree). Lineage: Eukaryota; Viridiplantae; Streptophyta; Magnoliopsida; Malpighiales; Euphorbiaceae. The record is from RNAcentral.